This is a non-coding RNA of Pelobates cultripes (western spadefoot toad), 216 nucleotides long. The record is from the annotation of a GenBank genome assembly. Lineage: Eukaryota; Metazoa; Chordata; Amphibia; Anura; Pelobatidae.
GGUCACAGGAGGGUUGGUGCAUGGGAGUGGGUGGGAACGAGUGAUGUGGUACUGGGAAAUAGUAGGCUCCAUCUACACCAAGUACGGGACAUAGGGGGGUGGGGGCUGAAGGCACACCCCCGGGGGGUGGGGUCUGUGCUGUGACGGGAGAAGCAGGGCGGGAAUUUACUGUUGCGCUCUGGGCGCCAUCAUAGGGUGGUGGCCGUGGAACAAUAG